CGCCGGACUCGGAAUGGCCCCAGACUUUGCGGGCGGCCUCCGUGUGCCCAAAAUAGGCCACGGGCACAGCCGCGCCCAAAAAUCAGCCCCCGAAGGUCGGGGCGCCAAGACCCCCCAGCGGAAAAAUGGCCAAAAAACGGGUGGGCUAUAGCCUUGGUGGGGGGCGUGGGCGAAGUUCUUCCGCCUGACUCGGAAUGGUCCCAGACUUUGCGGGCGGCCUACGUGUGCCAAAAAUAGGCCACGGGCACAGCCGCGCCCAAAAAUCAGCCCCUGAAGGUCGGGGCGCCAAGACCCCCCAGCGGAAAAAUGGCCAAAAAACGGUUGGGCUAUAGCCUUGGUGGGGGGCGUGGGCGAAGUUCGUCCGCCGGACUCGGAAUGGCCCCAGACUUUGCGGGCGGCCUCCGUGUGCCAAAAAUAGGCCACGGGCACAGCCGUUCCCAAAAAUCAGCACCCGAAUGUCGGGGCGCCAAGACCCCCCAGCGGAAAAAUGGCCAAAAAACGGGUGGGCUAUAGCCUUGGUGGGGGGCGUGGGCGAACUUCGUCCGCCGGACUCGGAAUGGCCCCAGACUUUGCGGGCGGCCUCCGUGUGCCAAAAAUAGGCCACGGGCACAGCCGCGCCCAAAAAUCAGCCCCCGAAUGUCGGGGCGCCAAUACACCCCAGCGGAAAAAUGGCAAAAAAACGGGUGGGCUAUAGCCUUGGUGGGGGGUGUGGGCGAAGUUCGUCCGCCGGACUCGGAAUGGCCCCAGACUUUGCGGGCGGCCUCCGUGUGCCAAAAAUAGGCCACGGCCACAGCCGCGCCCAAAAUCAGCCCCCGUAAGUUGUGGUGCCAAGGCAACCCCCGCGGAAAAAUCGCCAAAAACGGGUGGGCUAUACCCUGGUGGGGGGUGUGGGCGAAGUUCGUCCGCCGCACUCGGAAUGGCCCCAGACUUUGCGGGCGGACUCCGUGUGCCAAAAAUAGGCCACGGGCACAGCCGCGCCCAAAAAUCAGCCCCCGAAGGUCGGGGUGCCAAGACCCCCCAGCGGAAAAAUGGCCAAAAAACGGGUGGGCUAUAGCCUUGGUGGGGGGCGUGGGCGAAGUUCGUCCGCCGGGCUCGGAAUGGCCCCAGACUUUGCGGGCGGCCUCCGUGUGCCAAAAUUAGGCCACGGCCACAGCCGCGCCCAAAAAUCAGCCCCCGAAGGUCGGGGCGCCAAGACCCCCCAGCUGAAAAAUGGCCAAAAAACGGGUGGGCUAUUGCCUUGGUGGGGGGCGUGGGCGAAGUUCGUCCGCCGGACUCGGAAUGGCCCCAGACUUUGCGGGCGGCCUCCGUGUGCCCAAAAUAGGCCACGGGCACAGCCGCGCCCAAAAAUCAGCCCCCGAAGGUCGGGGCGCCAAGACCCCCCAGCGGAAAAAUGGCCAAAAAACGGGUGGGCUAUAGCCUUGGUGGGGGGCGUGGGCGAAGUUCGUCCGCCGGAUUCGGAAUGGCCCCAGACUUUGCGGGCGGCCUCCGUGUGCCAAAAAUAGGCCACGGGCACAGCCGCGCCCAGAAAUCAGCCCCCGAAUGUCGGGGCGCCAAGACACCCCAGCGGAAAAAUGGCCAAAAAAUGGGUGGGCUAUAGCCUUGGUGGGGGGCGUGGGCGAACUUCGUCCGCCGCACUCGGAAUGGCCCCAGACUUUGCAGGCGGCCUCCGUGUGCCAAAAAUAGGCCACGGGCUCAGCCACGCCCAAAAAUCAGCCCCCGAAGGUCGGGGUGCCAAGACCCCCCAGCGUAAAAAUGGCCAAAAAACGGGUGGGCUAUAGCCUUGGUGGGGGGCGUGGGCGAAGUUCGUCCGCCGGGCUCGGAAUGGCCCCAGACUUUGCGGGCGGCCUCCUUGUGCCAAAAUUAGGCCACGGCCACAGCCGCGCCCAACAAUCAGCCCCCGAAGGUCGGGGUGCCAAGACCCCCCAGCGGAAAAAUGUCCAAAAAACGGGUGGGCUAUAGCCUUGGUGGGGGGCGUGGGCGAAGUUCGUCCGCCGGGCUCGGAAUGGCCCCAAACUUUGCGGGCGGUGUCCGUGUGCCAAAAUUAGGCCACGGCCACAGCCGCGCCCAAAACCCAGCCCCCAAAGGUCGGGGCGCCAAGAUCCCCCAGUGGAAAAAUGGCCAAAAAACGGGUGGGCUACAGCCUUGGUGGGGGGCGUGGGCGAAGUUCGUCCGCCGGACUCAGAAUGGCCCCAGACUUUGCGGGCGGCCUCCGUUUGCCCAAAAUAGGCCACGGGCACAGCCGCGCCCAAAAAUCAGCCCCCGAAGGUCGGGGCGCCAAGACCCCCCAGCGGAAAAAUGGCCAAAAAACGGGUAGGCUAUAGCCUUGGUGGGGGGCGUGGGCGAAGUUCGUCCGCCGGACUCGGAAUGGCCCCAGACUUUGCGGGCGGCCUCCGUGUGCCCAAAAUAGGCCACGGGCACAGCCGCGGCCAAAAAUCAGCCCCCGAAGGUCGGGGCGCCAAGACCCCCCAGCGGAAAAAUGGCCAAAAAACGGGUGGGCUAUAGCCUUGGUGGGGGGCGUGGGCGAAGUUCGUCCGCCGGACUCGGAAUGGCCCCAGACUUUGCGGGCGGCCUCCGUGUGCCAAAAAUAGGCCACGGGCACAGCCGCGCCCAAAAAUCAGCCCCCGAAGGUCGGGGCGCCAAGACCCCCCAGCGGAAAAAUGGGCAACAAACGGGUGGGCUAUAGCCUUGGUGGGGGGCGUGGGCGAAGUUCGUCCGCGGGACUCGGAAUGGCACCAGACUUGGCGGGCGGCCUCCGUGUGCCAAAAAUAGGCCACGGGCACAGCCGCGCCCAAAAAUCAGCCCCCGAAGGUCGGGGUCCCAAGACCCCCCAGCGGAAAAAUGGCCAAAAAACCGGUGGGCUAUAGCCCUGGUGGGGGGCGUGGGCGAAGUUCGUCCGCGGGACUCGGAAUGGCACCAGACUUGGCGGGCGGCCUCCGUGUGCCAAAAAUAGGCCACGGGCACAGCCGCGCCCAAAAAUCAGCCCCCGAAGGUCGGGGUCCCAAGACCCCCCAGCGGAAAAAUGGUCAAAACACCGGUGGGCUAUAGCCUUGGCGGGCGGCCUCCGUGUGCCAAAAAUAGGCCACGGGCACAGCCGCGCCCAAAAAUCAGCCCCCGAAGGUCGGGGUCCCAAGACCCCCCAGCGGAAAAAUGGUCAAAACACCGGUGGGCUAUAGCCUUGGUGGGGGGCGUGGGCGAAGUUCAUCCGCGGGACUCGGAAUGGCGCCAGACUUGGCGGGCAGCCUCUGUGUGCCAAAAAUAGGCCACGGGCACAACCGCGCCCAAAAAUCAGCCCCCGAAGGUCGGGGUCCCAAGACCCCCCAGCGGAAAAAUGGCCAAAAAACGGGUUGGCUAUAGCCUUGGUGGGCGGCGUGGGCGAAGUUCGUCCGCGGGACUCGGAAUGGCACCAGACUUGGCGGGCGGCCUCCGUGUGCCAAAAAUAGGCCACGGGCACAGCCGCUCCCAAAAAUCAGCCCCCGAAGGUCGGGGUCCCAAGACCCCCCAGCGGAAAAAUGGCCAAAAAACGGGUGGGCUAUAGCCUUGGUGGGCGGCGUGGGCGAAGUUCGUCCGCGGGACUCGGAAUGCCACCAUACUUGGCGGGCGGCCUCCGUGUGCCAAAAAUAGGCCACGGGUACAGCCGCGCCCAAAAAUCAGCCCCCGAAGGUCGGGGUCCCAAGACCCCCCAGCGGAAAAAUGGCCAAAAAAAGGGUGGGCCAUAGCCUUGGCGGGGGGCAUGGGCGAAAUUCGUCCGCGGGACUCGGAAUGGCACCAGACUUGGCAGGCGGCCUCCGUGUGCCAAAAAUAGCCCACGGGCACAGCCGCUCCCAAAAAUCAGCCCCCGAAGGUCGGGGUCCCAAGACCCCCCAGCGGAAAAAUGGCCAAAAAAAGGGUGGGCUAUAGCCUUGGCGGGGGGCGUGGGCGAAGUUCGUCCGCCGGACUCGUAAUGGCCCCAGACUUGGCGGGCGGCCUCUGUGUGCCAAAAAUUGGCCACGGGCACAGCCGCGCCCAAAAAUCAGCCCCCGAAGGUCGGGGUCCCAAGACCCCCCAGCGGAAAAAUNN
RNAcentral lists this long non-coding RNA (4056 nucleotides) under Citrus x clementina. RNAcentral's name for it is "Citrus clementina (C. clementina) long non-coding RNA (CCLE_LNC000016)". Lineage: Eukaryota; Viridiplantae; Streptophyta; Magnoliopsida; Sapindales; Rutaceae. The record is from RNAcentral.